UACAGAGGGUGCGAGCGUUGUCCGGAAUCACUGGGCGUAAAGGGCGCGUAGGCGGCCCGGUAAGGUUGCGGUGAAAGCCCGGGGCUCAACCCCGGGUCGGCCGUGGCAACUGCUGGGCUGGAGCACAGUAGAGGCGGGUGGAAUUCCGGGUGUAGCGGUGGAAUGCGUAGAGAUCGGAAGGAACGCCCGUGGCGAAAGCGAGGUCCUGGACGUCUGCUGACGCUGAGACGCGAAAGCCAGGGGAGCGAACGGG
This 253-nucleotide ribosomal RNA is filed under the name uncultured bacterium. RNAcentral describes it as "partial 16S ribosomal RNA". It matches the Rfam family "Bacterial small subunit ribosomal RNA", at positions 524 to 776 of the family's 1533-position model. The record is from RNAcentral.